Non-coding RNA from Pelobates cultripes (western spadefoot toad), 293 nucleotides. The record is from the annotation of a GenBank genome assembly. NCBI's taxonomy places the organism in Eukaryota, Metazoa, Chordata, Amphibia, Anura, Pelobatidae.
CUCAAACUAUGAGGAAAAAUAAAAACGUUCUUUUUUUUCCUCCUUGUUUGUUAAUUUCUUGUGGUCAUGUUAUAUAAGCACUGAUUUCAAAUACUCAUUGACAUAAAAGCAAAAAACGCUUCUAUACAUUUUAAUCACUCCUUUUAUGGAGUAAUAUAUUGGCCGAGCCAUUGCUUUGAGUAGAUGGCAAUAGCAUUAAGCAGGAUAUAAUGAUUUUGGCAAGACAAAAACAAUUGGUCUGGAACUGCAGCAUGCUCUAAAGCUGAUUUUAGUGGAUCUAAGGGACAUUUUAC